RNAcentral lists this ribosomal RNA (509 nucleotides) under uncultured bacterium. RNAcentral describes it as "partial 16S ribosomal RNA". It matches the Rfam family "Bacterial small subunit ribosomal RNA", at positions 355 to 858 of the family's 1533-position model. The record is from RNAcentral.
UGGGGAAUUUUGGACAAUGGGCGCAAGCCUGAUCCAGCCAUGCCGCGUGCGGGAAGAAGGCCUUCGGGUUGUAAACCGCUUUUGUCAGGGAAGAAAUCUUCUGAGUUAAUACCUCGGGAGGAUGACGGUACCUGAAGAAUAAGCACCGGCUAACUACGUGCCAGCAGCCGCGGUAAUACGUAGGGUGCAAGCGUUAAUCGGAAUACUGGGCGUAAAGCGUGCGCAGGCGGUUUUGUAAGACAGAGGUGAAAUCCCCGGGCUCAACCUGGGAACUGCCUUUGUGACUGCAAGGCUUGAGUGCGGCAGAGGGGGAUGGAAUUCCGCGUGUAGCAGUGAAAUGCGUAGAUAUGCGGAGGAACACCGAUGGCGAAGGCAAUCCCCUGGGCCUGCACUGACGCUCAUGCACGAAAGCGUGGGGAGCAAACAGGAUUAGAUCCCUGGUAGUCCACGCCCUAAAACGAUGUCAACUGGUUGUUGGGAAGGUUCCUUCUCAGUAACGUAGCUAACGC